UACGGAGGGUGCGAGCGUUAAUCGGAUUUACUGGGCGUAAAGCGCGCGUAGGCGGUUUGGUAAGUCAGAUGUGAAAUCCCCGGGCUCAACCUGGGAAUGGCAUUUGAUACUGUCGAACUCGAGUGUGGUAGAGGGAAGUGGAAUUCCGCAUGUAGCGGUGAAAUGCGUAGAUAUGCGGAGGAACACCAGUGGCGAAAGCGACUUCCUGGACCAACACUGACGCUGAGGCGCGAAAGCGUGGGGAGCAAAUAGG
RNAcentral lists this ribosomal RNA (253 nucleotides) under uncultured bacterium. RNAcentral's name for it is "partial 16S ribosomal RNA". It matches the Rfam family "Bacterial small subunit ribosomal RNA", at positions 524 to 776 of the family's 1533-position model. The record is from RNAcentral.